AAAGCGGCUCUCUGGUCUGUAACUGACGCUGAGGCUCGAAAGCGUGGGGAGCAAACAGGAUUAGAUACCCUGGUAGUCCACGCCGUAAACGAUGAGUGCUAGGUGUUGGGUCCUUUCCGGGACUCAGUGCCGCAGCUAACGCAUUAAGCACUCCGCCUGGGGAGUACGACCGCAAGGUUGAAACUCAAAGGAAUUGACGGGGGCCCGCACAAGCGGUGGAGUAUGUGGUUUAAUUCGAUGCAACGCGAAGAACCUUACCAGGACUUGACAUGUCGCGAAUCCAGUGGAAACACAGGAGUGUCAGUUAUGGUCCAGCAGAGCGCCUUCGCCAC
This 332-nucleotide ribosomal RNA is filed under the name uncultured bacterium. RNAcentral describes it as "bacterial SSU rRNA". It matches the Rfam family "Bacterial small subunit ribosomal RNA", at positions 718 to 1052 of the family's 1533-position model. The record is from RNAcentral.